GAUGAACGCUGGCGGCGUGCCUAAUACAUGCAAGUCGAACGAAACUUCUUUAUCACCGAGUGCUUGCACUCACCGAUAAAGAGUUGAGUGGCGAACGGGUGAGUAACACGUGGGCAACCUGCCCAAAAGAGGGGGAUAACACUUGGAAACAGGUGCUAAUACCGCAUAACCAUAGUUACCGCAUGGUAACUAUGUAAAAGGUGGCUAUACUACCGCUUUUGGAUGGGCCCGCGGCGCAUUAGCUAGUUGGUAGGGUGAAGGCUUACCAAGGCAAUGAUGCGUAGCCGAAUUGAGAGGUUGAUCGGCCACAUUGGGACUGAGACACGGCCCAAACUCCUACGGGAGGCAGCAGUAGGGAAUCUUCCACAAUGGGCGAAAGCCUGAUGGAGCAACGCCGCGUGGGUGAAGAAGGUCUUCGGAUCGUAAAACCCUGUUGUUAGAGAAGAAAGUGCGUGAGAGUAACUGUUCACGUUUCGACGGUAUCUAACCAGAAAGCCACGGCUAACUACGUG
This 512-nucleotide ribosomal RNA is filed under the name uncultured bacterium. RNAcentral describes it as "partial 16S ribosomal RNA". It matches the Rfam family "Bacterial small subunit ribosomal RNA", at positions 28 to 507 of the family's 1533-position model. The record is from RNAcentral.